RNAcentral lists this ribosomal RNA (424 nucleotides) under uncultured bacterium. RNAcentral describes it as "bacterial SSU rRNA". It matches the Rfam family "Bacterial small subunit ribosomal RNA", at positions 355 to 796 of the family's 1533-position model. The record is from RNAcentral.
UGGGGAAUCUUGGACAAUGGGCGCAAGCCUGAUCCAGCCAUGCCGCGUGAGUGAAGAAGGCCUUAGGGUUGUAAAACUCUUUCGCCGGAGAAGAUAAUGACGGUAUCCGGAGAAGAAGCCCCGGCUAACUUCGUGCCAGCAGCCGCGGUAAUACGAAGGGGGCUAGCGUUGUUCGGAAUUACUGGGCGUAAAGCGCACGUAGGCGGGUUUGUAAGUAGGGGGUGAAAUCCCUGGGCUCAACCCAGGAACUGCCUUCUAGACUGCAAGCCUGGAGGUCAGGAGAGGCGAGUGGAAUUCCGAGUGUAGAGGUGAAAUUCGUAGAUAUUCGGAGGAACACCAGUGGCGAAGGCGACUCGCUGGACUGAUACUGACGCUGAGGUGCGAAAGCGUGGGGAGCAAACAGGAUUAGAUACCCGCGUAGUCC